Molecule: ribosomal RNA, 655 nt
Filed under: Ulvibacter sp.
Lineage: Bacteria; Pseudomonadati; Bacteroidota; Flavobacteriia; Flavobacteriales; Flavobacteriaceae
Description: bacterial SSU rRNA
Rfam family: Bacterial small subunit ribosomal RNA
Source: RNAcentral
UAACGCGUAUACAAUCUGCCUUAUACUGGGGGAUAGCCUUUGGAAACGAAGAUUAAUACCCCAUAGUAAGUGAAGAUGGCAUCAUCAUCACUUUAAAGAUUACGGUAUAAGAUGAGUAUGCGUCCUAUUAGUUUGUUGGUAAGGUAACGGCUUACCAAGACUACGAUAGGUAGGGGCCCUGANAGGGGGAUCCCCCACACUGGUACUGANACACGGACCAGACUCCUACGGGAGGCAGCAGUGAGGAAUAUUGGACAAUGGGCGAGAGCCUGAUCCAGCCAUGCCGCGUGCAGGAAGACGGCCCUAUGGGUUGUAAACUGCUUUUAUACAGGAAGAAACACUCCCUCGUGAGGGAGCUUGACGGUACUGUAAGAAUAAGGACCGGCUAACUCCGUGCCAGCAGCCGCGGUAAUACGGAGGGUCCGAGCGUUAUCCGGAAUCAUUGGGUUUAAAGGGUCCGUAGGCGGGCAGCUCAGUCAGUGGUGAAAGUCUGUGGCUCAACCAUAGAAUUGCCAUUGAUACUGGUUGUCUUGAAUUAUUGUGAAGUGGUUAGAAUAAGUAGUGUAGCGGUGAAAUGCAUAGAUAUUACUUANAAUACCAAUUGCGAAGGCAGAUCACUAACAAUAUAUUGACGCUGAUGGACGAAAGCGUGGGG